RNAcentral lists this ribosomal RNA (436 nucleotides) under Parada torta. RNAcentral's name for it is "partial 16S ribosomal RNA". Lineage: Eukaryota; Metazoa; Arthropoda; Insecta; Hemiptera; Tingidae. The record is from RNAcentral.
UUCUUUUCGAAAAUAAAUUAAAGGUAUAGCCUGCUCAAUGAUUAAUUAAAUAGCCGCGAUAUUUAUCGUGCUAAGGUAGCAUAAUAAUUUGUCCUUUAAUUGAGGUCUAGAAUGAAAGGUUGAACGAGGAGUAAACUUUUUUAAUUAAAUUAUUUUAAACUUUAUUUUUUAGUAAAAAAGCUAAAAUUAUUUUAUGGGACGAUAAGACCCUAUAAAAUUUUAUUUAUAAAAUUUAUUUAUUUAAAUUGGUUUAUUAUUGGAAUUUAAAAUUCUAUAAAUUUGGUUGGGGCGACUAUCUAAUUAAAAUAACUUAGAUUUAUAGUAAGUCAUUAAUUUAUGAUUAUUUGAUCCUAAAAUUUAGAUUACAAGAAAAAAUUACUUUAGGGAUAACAGCGUAAUUUUCUUGAGGAGUUCUAAUUUAUAAGAAAGAUUGCGA